GAAGAACCUUACCUGGGUUUGACAUACACCAGAAAGCUAUAGAGAUAUGGCCCCCCUUGUGGUUGGUGUACAGGUGGUGCAUGGCUGUCGUCAGCUCGUGUCGUGAGAUGUUGGGUUAAGUCCCGCAACGAGCGCAACCCUUGUCCUGUAUUGCCAGCACGUAAUGGUGGGGACUUGCAGGAGACUGCCGGGGUCAACUCGGAGGAAGGUGGGGAUGACGUCAAGUCAUCAUGCCCCUUAUGUCCAGGGCUUCACACAUGCUACAAUGGCGCGUACAGAGGGCUGCGAGACCGUGAGGUGGAGCGAAUCCCUUAAAGCGCGUCUCAGUUCGGAUUGGGGUCUGCAACUCGACCCCAUGAAGUCGGAGUCGCUAGUAAUCGCAGAUCAGCAACGCUGCGGUGAAUACGUUCCCGGGUCUUGUACACACCGA
RNAcentral lists this ribosomal RNA (430 nucleotides) under uncultured bacterium. RNAcentral describes it as "bacterial SSU rRNA". It matches the Rfam family "Bacterial small subunit ribosomal RNA", at positions 963 to 1393 of the family's 1533-position model. The record is from RNAcentral.